Molecule: long non-coding RNA, 2084 nt
Organism: Ostrea edulis (European flat oyster)
Lineage: Eukaryota; Metazoa; Mollusca; Bivalvia; Ostreida; Ostreidae
Exons: 2
Source: RefSeq, a predicted model, not a curated record
GCAUUUAAAAUUACAAAUAUGGAACUCACUGUUCCUGGAAUAACAAUACGUUUAUGCGGGAUUUUCUUUCGCUGAUGGAGGGAGUGAAUAAGAGAAGCAGGCGAGUUUGUCUAUCCAAUAACUUUGUAUUUCAGAAUAUUCACAGUGAUGACAGUGGGUCACUAAAGGUCAAAUUCUUGAUGCCAAGAAUGAAAUGGCCUCCAUUUAAUUCCAUCAGGUCCAUAUUGUGCAAUAAAAUCAUUAACAUUGAUUGUUUUAAAGGCAAAUGACAACUAAUCCUAUUUGCUAGGAAAAUCAAAGUCCUCUUGGAGCCAUUUGUUAGAUUUAGAUUCUGAACAGUGAAAAUACUGCUAAUUUUGUUAUCACAAUGGUCCUAAAUUAAUUUCCUGCAAUUUUGCACCUUUGUUAUUAAAAUGAACAGACUUGGUUCUAUAUUUCCCCUCCCAACAUCAUUGGGUGGUGGGGAUUUACUCGAUCUAUGUGGUGAUCAGAUUUAAGGGUAUUGUUCAACAAAAUUAACUUCCACAAUUCAACAUUGACAUGCUGAGUAACCAACAUGACUUUUCAAGUUGCAAUAACAGUAAAUGAAAUAUUUGUACACCUUUUUGUACAUUUUGAACAAUUGAUAAGUUCAACGGUGUACAUAAUAAUGUACUGACUGUGUACUGACUGUGUACAUAAUGUACUGAUACAUAACACUGACAAAAGAACACCAUGUACAUGACAUAGGCCUCUUAGAAAAAAUCCAACAAACCUAUGUACCAAGCAAGAACUUACAAUAUUACCACAACAUUAUGCAAGAGACAGGUUCUGCUUUAUCAACCUGUUUUCUAACGAAGUUAAUUUAUGCAUGAUUUGCAUAUUUUGUUUAGAUUCCAUGGAAAAUGCUAAAAAAAAAAAACAAAAACAAAACACAGGAUUAUUUCAGAGGUGUCAAGUGCAAAAAACUAUUUUGUGUAAAAAUGCCAGUUCAUAUUAUGUUCACAUGGUAACUCACUGCAGUUUUCUGUGAAGGUCACAUCGGGUGACGGAGACCGACACAAUCCUAAUUUAGUCAGCCUAGAGUAGGUGUCUAUUCCUUAACAUUCAUUAUUGAAGAAAAAACAAACAUUGUGAUUGGACUUUAAAAGCUUCCAGAUGUGUGGUUGUAGAGAGGGAACUUUUUGAAAAUCUGUCAAUUGUUAGCAGUUCUUGCCCCACUCCUAAGACCCCAGGAAUGCAGGGGUCCUGAAAUUUACCAAUUUAUACCAAAGAAGCUUCAUACCUUAAAAAGAAUUGGAAGGAUAUUCAUCAAGAAGUUAAAAAUGUUCAAUUGUUAAAGCACUACUGACAAUGAACUUCACACAACAAUGGAUGCAGACCAAUAACAAUGUUACCAGAGUGACUUAGGUCACCUAAAAGUGAAGUUUAUUUCUUAUAUUUACAUUCUACAAUCAUUUCAUUUCAAAUUCCUAGCCGUUAAAAUGGAUGUACCAUAUCUAUAUAAUAAUGUUUCAAUUUGAGUAUAUAUUACGCCAAAAUAGUGGUCAGGGUUUUGACAAAUGGUGCACAACCGAAAGUGGAGUGCACUAUUGUCAAAUCCCCGACUACUAUUAUAGUAUAGUGUAUGAAUAGUGUAACAUUAUUAUAAUUAUUACGCUGACUGUCCAUAUUUUUCUCAAUAAAUCAAUAUUUACGUUUCAAUGGAGCAAAGGGUGAUCACUCCGAAUGCACUUCCAAAGUUGAUGUAUUGAAUAGUUUGUCAUUCUAUUGGAGCAUACUAAUCAAAACUGGAAGAUACACCUCAUCAUUUUUGUACUAAUCAAAUGUCUGGGCAAGUUUUCUUUACAAAGGUUUGUAUUAGUUUGUGGCAAACUUUAGUUUAUAUUUAUAAAAUUAUAGUUUAUAUAUAUAUAAUUUAUCCUCGAUAAGAGUAGAGCUACGGUGGUAUCGUGAAUUAAUACUGCAUUUGAUUAACAAGUGCACUAUCUCAGGUUCAAAUCUGUGAAUAAGCACAUUAUUUUUCUUAAUAAAUGGAAUUAUAUUAUAUAUGAAAAGUUUAAAGACGACAAAAAAAAAAAAAAAAAAAAAAAAAAAAAAAGAAA